RNAcentral lists this ribosomal RNA (250 nucleotides) under uncultured Variovorax sp. RNAcentral describes it as "partial 16S ribosomal RNA". It matches the Rfam family "Bacterial small subunit ribosomal RNA", at positions 1130 to 1382 of the family's 1533-position model. Lineage: Bacteria; Pseudomonadati; Pseudomonadota; Betaproteobacteria; Burkholderiales; Comamonadaceae. The record is from RNAcentral.
GUUGGGCACUCUAAUGAGACUGCCGGUGACAACCGGAGGAAGGUGGGGAUGACGUCAAGUCCUCAUGGCCCUUAUAGGUGGGCUACACACGUCAUACAAUGGCUGGUACAAAGGGUUGCCAACCCGGCGAGGGGAGCUAAUCCCAUAAACCAGUCGUAGUCCGGAUCGCAGUCUGCAACUCGACUGCGUGAAGUCGGAAUCGCUAGUAAUCGUGGAUCAGAAUGUCACGGUGAAUACGUUCCCGGGUCUU